AGACGAAGAAGGGAGAUAUAGAGCCUUAAGGUCCAUCUCCCCAUCUCUGUGCUUGUCCCUGUGUCUCUUCAUUCAUCCAGGUAAUGGAGUGGACUGACCCUUGUAUGGGAGUUGAAUGGUGUGAAUUUUCAUCCGGGUUCCAGCCCUGGUGCAGUGCGCCCUAAUGGCAGUGACCAAAGCACAGUUGGGAUUGGGGAGUGGUUUCUCCACCUGGGGCACAUCCUCCAAAGCAUUUAUUUCCAGCAGUUUUAAAAAGAUAAGAGGCAUCAUGAAAAGAUGUUAGAGAGGAUGUAGUGCGGGAAGCCAGACAUGGAACCAACUCAGGGAACAUGAUCAAAGGGUACUGUCUCUCUUCUUCCA
This 360-nucleotide long non-coding RNA is filed under the name Bos taurus (domestic cattle). RNAcentral describes it as "long non-coding RNA NONBTAT017808". Lineage: Eukaryota; Metazoa; Chordata; Mammalia; Artiodactyla; Bovidae. The record is from RNAcentral.